Molecule: ribosomal RNA, 506 nt
Filed under: uncultured bacterium
Lineage: Bacteria
Description: partial 16S ribosomal RNA
Rfam family: Bacterial small subunit ribosomal RNA
Source: RNAcentral
AUUGAACGCUGGCGGCAGGCUUAACACAUGCAAGUCGAGCGGUAACAGAGAGAAGCUUGCUUCUCUGCUGACGAGCGGCGGACGGGUGAGUAAUGCCUAGGAAUCUGCCUAGUAGUGGGGAAUAACUUGCCGAAAGGUAAGCUAAUACCGCAUACGUCCUACGGGAGAAAGGAGGGGACCUUCGGGCCUUUCGCUAUUAGAUGAGCCUAGGUCGGAUUAGUUAGUUGGUGAGGUAAUGGCUCACCAAGACCGCGAUCCGUAACUGGUCUGAGAGGAUGAUCAGUCACACUGGAACUGAGACACGGUCCAGACUCCUACGGGAGGCAGUAGUGGGGAAUAUUGGACAAUGGGGGGAACCCUGAUCCAGCCAUGCCGCGUGUGUGAAGAAGGUCUUAGGAUUGUAAAGCACUUUAAGUUGGGAGGAAGAGCAGUUAACUAAUAUUUGACUGUUUUGACGUUACCGACAGAAUAAGUACCGGCUAACUUCGUGCCAGCCGCCGCGGUAA